GAAGAUCUCACCUCAUAACCAGCACCAAGAGGAUAAAGAAAGGGUCCAUAAUUCUUCUGACAUGGAUGUAUUGUCUUCAAAUGAAGCUUUAAAAGAUGGGAUGACAGAGACAGAUUCUUGUGUCGACUCUUAAAGACUGGAGGGAUAAAACCAAGAAUUCUGGAAACAAACUGCUGAACAAUACAAGACUGAGCCAGAAGACACAAACUAAAGGCUGCAUGGACACAGUGUGACGUCUCAACUAGAUGGUGCAAACGAAACAGCUCAUGAAAAUGGAAUCAGUGAUGCUGCUGGUGAGAUUCUUGGUGAGCAUCCGGCGCUGAACAAGGUGUCACAUUAUACAACAGAGCGAUCCAAAUGUCCUGAGAACCACCAAGUCUGAGCGGCGCCGGACUGGGACAGAUGUUCUGCUUCUGCUGUCAAUUUGCCCGCCAAAAUCGGGCUCAUUACGGCGUAACAGUCAUCAAAUCCACUGAAUAGUUAAUAUCCUUUUCAUUGUGAAGUUGUACAAAUCCCUUUCUGUUCCACUGGCAUGUCGAAUGUGGUUUUAACAGGAGAAGUAAAAGCAAAGCCCUCCUGGAAAAUGUAAUUAUAGUGUGUGAAUUAUGAACAGUUAAACCCCCAAUAAUGAUCCUGGAGCCAGUGGGACGACUACUGCCUUUGGUUUUGUAGAUACCAUCGUGGUAGAUGCGUCUUGAUUUGACACUUUCAAACCAGGAGGUUCAUCACGAGGCUGUUUUUUCUUUUUUUUUAUUAUCGGUAUUAUUAUCAUUAAUUCAAACAGAACAAUGCCUGAGGAUGCCUCGCAGGAGAAAAAUGAAAGGUGCCCUGCAUGUUAGAGGUUCAUAGAGGUUCAGUCAGAGUUCAUGGAGCCUUUUAUUAAAGGACCUUUCAAAGAAACGUGUCUCCAGGAAAAAACAGUCCCAAAGGGGAUUUAGAUGCUAAUGUCAG
This is a long non-coding RNA of Amphiprion ocellaris (clown anemonefish), 951 nucleotides long. The record is from Ensembl. NCBI's taxonomy places the organism in Eukaryota, Metazoa, Chordata, Actinopteri, Pomacentridae.